UACGUAGGUCCCGAGCGUUGUCCGGAUUUAUUGGGCGUAAAGCGAGCGCAGGUGGUUUAUUAAGUCUGGUGUAAAAGGCAGUGGCUCAACCAUUGUAUGCAUUGGAAACUAGUAGACUUGAGUGCAGGAGAGGAGAGUGGAAUUCCAUGUGUAGCGGUGAAAUGCGUAGAUAUAUGGAGGAACACCGGUUGCGAAGGCGGCUCUCUGGACUGUAACUGACACUGAGGCACGAAAGCGUGGGGAGCAAACAGG
This 252-nucleotide ribosomal RNA is filed under the name uncultured bacterium. Its description in RNAcentral is "partial 16S ribosomal RNA". It matches the Rfam family "Bacterial small subunit ribosomal RNA", at positions 524 to 776 of the family's 1533-position model. The record is from RNAcentral.